Struthio camelus australis is the source of this 831-nucleotide non-coding RNA. The record is from RefSeq and is a predicted model, not a curated record. NCBI's taxonomy places the organism in Eukaryota, Metazoa, Chordata, Aves, Struthioniformes, Struthionidae.
UCAGAAUUAUAAACAGAAUCGUCACCUCUAAGCAUCUAUGACAUAUGACCCAUGGAUAUUUUUUCUCAGUCUUGCUCUUUUUCCAGAAAUCAAGUGACAGAACAUCCUACCCCUAUCUGAAAAAAAGAAUCACCUACGGAGGAAGUUACACUCCACUUUCAUUUUGCGUUCCACCAAACUAUUGCUCUCGGGUCGCCUGCAGAGCCACCAGCACAAGCAUAUGAGCCAGAACUCUCCCUUACCCACUCCGGUGAUGAGAGAAAGACCACGACAAGUAUCAUUUCUAGUAUUUGGCCUGCUGGGCAAUGGAUUUACAAAAUUACCAUUGUGCCACAGAAGAUACAGACUGCGGUACUGGUGACCAGAAAGGUAGAGAUUUGAGCGAAGAAAAUAUGUGCUGAAGAGCUAGAAAGCCUCUCUGAAUAGAAGUCAGGAAAAUGAACUGGACUACAUACUAAAGUACAUAUGGUGCGGCAGCUGAACCCUCUCCUAAAAUUCAUUUCUUGAUAAUCCAUUCACUGGAUUAUCUAGCUUUAAUAGCAACUUGAACAGCAGGUUGUAAAUAAAGCAAAAAUAACAGAAUAACAGAAAUGAGGCAUGGGCUGUUUUUUGCAAAACUGCCAUUGAAUAAAUAAGGUGACAAGGGUCUGAGAAAGACUCAUAUUCCUGCCUCCUUUUUAAAAAUGGAUUAAAACCACAGGGGAGUCUCUUCACGCUUUGAUGACAACACGCUUUGAUGCUCAACGUGGCACACUGCAGCACAAGCCAUGGGCCAUGGAGAAGAAUAAACGUAAUACAAAAGAAGGGAAAUGCAUGUAUGAAGGCAGCGUA